CACGUAGGGCGCAAGCGUUGUCCGGAAUUAUUGGGCGUAAAGGGCUCGUAGGCGGUUUGUCGCGUCGGGAGUGAAAACUCAGGGCUUAACCCUGAGCCUGCUUCCGAUACGGGCAGACUAGAGGUAUGCAGGGGAGAAUGGAAUUCCUGGUGUAGCGGUGAAAUGCGCAGAUAUCAGGAGGAACACCGGUGGCGAAGGCGGUUCUCUGGGCAGUAACUGACGCUGAGGAGCGAAAGCGUGGGGAGCGAACAGG
Molecule: ribosomal RNA, 253 nt
Filed under: uncultured bacterium
Lineage: Bacteria
Description: partial 16S ribosomal RNA
Rfam family: Bacterial small subunit ribosomal RNA
Source: RNAcentral